This 519-nucleotide small RNA is filed under the name Arabidopsis thaliana (thale cress). Its description in RNAcentral is "ATSL175640". The record is from RNAcentral. Lineage: Eukaryota; Viridiplantae; Streptophyta; Magnoliopsida; Brassicales; Brassicaceae.
AUAAAUAUAGUAUGUUAAAACGGAAAGAUACCAGUAUAUCAUAAAAUAUUACAUAAAAUUCAGAAAAACCAUAAAAGUUUACGAAGUAACACGAAUCAAAUAAAAAUAAAGAAAAAACAAUUUGGCAUUUGGUCAUGGUCACCGUAAUAUUAUUACGGAGUAAGUGGUGGUAGACAAUAUCCAUAAAAUGAAGAGAAGUCGAUGACAUAAAUCCGGCGAUAGAAAGAAUCUUAGAAAAGAGAGUGAAAGAAAGAGAAAAAAAGAGAGAGAAGAUGAAAGAGAAAAUGAGAAAAUGAUAUAUUAGUAAUUUUAUUUGCCUCUCCGAUAAAGUACUAUUGCCCAUAGUCAUUUACUCUAUUCUUUUUGGUUUCAUGGUUAUUUUGUACAUAUACCAAAAAAGGAAAGAAAAAGUCACCUUUUGAAUAUUAAAAAAAACUAUUUAAGUUUAGCUAUGGAAUAUAAUUAAACCCAUUGAAAUUUAAGAAGUCAAGUUGUUGGAAGUUUUGUUUACUAUUGCUU